Molecule: ribosomal RNA, 253 nt
Filed under: uncultured bacterium
Lineage: Bacteria
Description: partial 16S ribosomal RNA
Rfam family: Bacterial small subunit ribosomal RNA
Source: RNAcentral
UACAGAGGGUGCGAGCGUUGUUCGGAAUUAUUGGGCGUAAAGGGCGCGUAGGCGGUGCGGUAAGUCACCUGUGAAAUCUCCUGGCUCAACUGGGAGCUUGCAGGCGAAACUGCCGUGCUGGAGUGUGGGAGAGGUGAGUGGAAUUCCCGGUGUAGCGGUGAAAUGCGUAGAUAUCGAGAGGAACACCUGCGGCGAAGGCGGGUAGCUGGGCCGACACUGACGCUGAGGCGCGAAAGCCAGGGGAGCGAACGGG